GAUCCUGGCUCAGGACGAACGCUGGCGGCGUGCUUAACACAUGCAAGUCGAACGAGAAUCUGUGGAAAGAGGGUUCGUCCAAUUGAAACAGAGGACAGUGGCGGACGGGUGAGUAACGCGUGAGGAACCUGCCUUUCAGAGGGGGACAACAGUUGGAAACGACUGCUAAUACCGCAUGACACAUUGAGGUCGCAUGGCCUUGAUGUCAAAGAUUUAUCGCUGAAAGAUGGCCUCGCG
This 237-nucleotide ribosomal RNA is filed under the name uncultured bacterium. Its description in RNAcentral is "partial 16S ribosomal RNA". It matches the Rfam family "Bacterial small subunit ribosomal RNA", at positions 15 to 235 of the family's 1533-position model. The record is from RNAcentral.